This is an RNA transcript of Apodemus sylvaticus (European woodmouse), 3278 nucleotides long. It is a transcript of the gene named NKG2-A/NKG2-B type II integral membrane protein-like, with no coding region annotated. NCBI's taxonomy places the organism in Eukaryota, Metazoa, Chordata, Mammalia, Rodentia, Muridae. The transcript is spliced from 8 exons. The record is from RefSeq and is a predicted model, not a curated record.
GUAGCACAUCACUAGCUGCAGACAUGAGUAAUGAACGAGUCACCUAUGCAGAAUUGAAUGUGGCAAAGAACUCAAGGAACCAGCACAGGAAACCAAGAGAUACUCGCAGCUCCAUUUCACUAAUUGAGCAGGAAAUCAUCUAUGCAGACUUCAGCUUUCAAAAUCCUUCUCAAGAACAUCCCUGGAUUGGUAGGGACUGCUGCUGCAAAGGUUUUCCAUCUCCUCCAGAAAAACUCAUUGCUGGUACCUUAGGCAUCAUCUGUUUUGUCUUAAUUGUUGCUGUGGUUGUAAUUACUACAGUUGCCGUACCAUAUACUGAAGCAAAGGCAUGGAUCAACUCCUCAAUGACUAGAACUCACAGAGCACAGCCUUGUGGUCCUUGUCCAAAGGAGUGGAUAUCAUAUUCCCACAAUUGUUAUUACAUUGGUGUGGAGAGAAAAUCUUGGAAUGACAGUUCAAUGUCCUGCAUUUCCAAAACCUGUAGCCUGCUUCACAUAGACAGUGAAGAGGAGCAGGCAUUUCUGCAAUCUCUUUCAUUUGUCUCCUGGACUGGAUUAUUUCGGAAGAGCAGAAGUCAGCCCUGGGUCUGGAAAAAUAACUCAACUUUCAAACCAAAGAUAGCAGAGAUUUCCCAUGAUGAGCAUAACUGUGCCAUGAUGUCAGCUUCCGGUCUCAUAGCAGACAACUGUACAGCUUUACAUACAUACCUUUGUAAGUGCAAAUUCACCAACUGAAACACCUGCAUUUGAAGUCUGCCAGUUAGGUACAGUUCAAAGGCUUGAGGAUAUUUGAAUAAGAUGUUUGGAUCCAGCUGCAACAUAAAGAGUGUUCAUCUCACAUCUCUCCCAGCUGGACGGUCCUAGGCUUGCCAUCCUAUAUAUCUCUGUCUCCCUUCAGAUGAACUUGUGACUAGAAUCCAAAGGAUCAUCUGCUUUCUCUAACUGUCCCAUUCAAUGUAGCUGGGCAGUGGUGGCGCACGCCUUUAAUCCCAGCACUUGGGAGGCAGAGGCAGGCGAAUCUCUGAGUUCGAGGCCAGCCUGGUCUACAGAGUGAGUUCCAAGACAGCCAGGGCUACACAGAGAAACCCUGUCUUGGAAAACAACAAACAAACAAAAAAACCCAAACAAACAAAAUGGUAACAGACACAGUUGUUACCAAAAGAAUGCCUUUUGAAUGAUUAUGGGGAAUUUUUCACUCAGAAGGCUGGAAGACUCUGUACAUGCUUCUCUGUACACAAUUAUCAGAUGACACAUUUAAUAUAUACUUAUUUAUGUAAUUUUGUAAAAAAAAAUCUUUCCAAUGUUUAUCCUGAAUUUGUCAAAUGUACAAUAACAGAAUUACUGAAAAGUGUUUUUUAGUCUAUGUGUUGUGAUCUUGUUACUCAAUGUCAUGCUUCUGGGAAUUUUUCUUAAGACGUUAAUUAGUACUUAUAAGUGGUUAUAUUAACCAUUGUGAAGUUUGAUCAGUUUUAGGUGUGAGCCUAGCUUUUAACAGCUGAGCCAUCACUCCAGCCCAAAUUUUGGUCAAUUUUGAACCUAUAGGUUUUUGCAAUAUUUUCCUCCCAAACCUUCAUUUUUAUAAUAUUUUCCACAAAAAUAAUUUUAUUAUAUACUUUUAUGUUUUGAUAUAAACUAAAAUUCCAAACAAGGAAAUUAAAAUUUGUAUUUUCAGAAAUAUUAAUUGUUUAAAUUCUCCUUUACCUUUUUCUGGCUAUUAUAAUUAAGGAGCAGAACAUUACAUCCUAAUAAACCCUAGAAAAGUAUACAACAAUUUUCAAAGUUAAAGUGUUUGCACAGGUUUAACUUUGUCUUGUUCUCAGCCUAUGCAAAAGUGAUCAUGACUUUCAAAUGAAAUGAACAAAAGAAUUAGUCAAUGAAUCUUCACAAAUAAAGACUUUACAAAAACAUGUAUUCUUAUACAAUAUUAAAAGGAUAUGCUUAAAGUCAACAUGACCAUUGGUAUUAAUCACCUCAAAUUUCGCUACUGUUGUGAUAAGACAAGAUUUAAAUAUUUAUUCUGUUUCAAAAGAAUUACUUCUAUGUAGUGACUUUUCAGAACAUAUAUAGGGUGAGCUUUUACUUGUUUUUGUCAUAUGCAGGUAGAUUUGGGGAUGAGUGCCUGACUUUUUUCCUGUAUGUUUGUACUAGUGGGGCUAUUUUAUCUGUAACAAGAUAUGCUUGCUCGUAAUUUGUAUGUGCCUGAUUAUAGCUAUACAAAGUCAUUAUUAAAUAUUAAUGCUGUUUCUGAGACAAAAUUUCUAAUCUUCAUUAUAUCCUUACCAUUUCAGUAGCAAAGGACUAGUUAACAGUUUGCAAUAGAUGUUGCCACAUUUGUGUAGAAAGAAAAACUUGAAUUGAGAAUUUGGUUUCCUAUUCCAAUUAGAACUCUGCUUUAUGUGUUUGGGGAACAGCUUAAUGGCUAAAAUGUUUGGUGUGAAAAGCUGAAGACCAGGAUCUGGCUCUCCAUCAACUAUAUAAAUGCUAGGCAGGUGUUGUUGUAUUUUAUGAAAAGGAAAAAGUCCAGGAACAUGACUUAUAGAGCAAAGUAGGUGAGGUGGGAGAGGGCGAUUCUGUGGGCACAUGCUGAGCCAGUCCUUCCCCCAAGGUACUCACCACAGCACAGAUAGAGUGGGAAAUAGAGUUUAUUUAGGUCAUGAGAAGGUGAGUUGAAAAGGAAGUAGAGAUAGAGAAAGAUACACACACAUACACACACACAAAGAGAGAGGGGGAGGGGACAGAGAGACAGAGACAGAGAGACAGAAAGAGCAGAAAGAGACAGAAAAAGACAGCAAGAGACAGAGGAGACAGAGAGAGAAAGAUAGAGGCUGGCCAGGAACUGUGGAAAGAGAAGGGAAGGGGAUGGGGACAGAGGGAGAAGGAUCAGAGAGAUAAGAGAGUAAGAGAAUAAGAGAAUAAGAGAGUCAGGAGGGGGCAAACAGCCCCUUUUAUAGUGAGUCAGGCAUUCCUGGUUGUUGCCAGGUAACUGUGGGGUGGAGACUAGAAGGAAUGCUAACAGGUGUGGCCACAAGCAGUAAUUCUACAUGUAGGAGCCAGAGAUUGGAGAUCACUAGGGUAAACUGGGCAGCUAGAGCAGCCAAGUUUGUGAGAUCAGCUAGAGAACUUGCCUCAGUGCAGAAGAUGUAUAGCAAUUGAUUUUCCCAUAUUAUGUGAUACAAACAAGUUGUGGGCAUAGGAAGUCCUUUAUUCAUGAACUGAAAAUAUUCAAAUUUGUCUCAGCAAUAUAAAAAUAAAAAUGAAACACUAUGAAGUCAAAAAGGA